This 505-nucleotide ribosomal RNA is filed under the name uncultured bacterium. Its description in RNAcentral is "partial 16S ribosomal RNA". It matches the Rfam family "Bacterial small subunit ribosomal RNA", at positions 28 to 507 of the family's 1533-position model. The record is from RNAcentral.
GACGAACGCUGGCGGCGUGCCUAAUACAUGCAAGUAGAACGCACAGUUUAUACCGUAGCUUGCUACACCAUAAACUGUGAGUUGCGAACGGGUGAGUAACGCGUAGGUAACCUGCCUGGGAGCGGGGUAUAACUAUUGGAAACGGUAGCUAAUACCUCAUAAUAUUGAUUAUUGCAUGAUAAUUGAUUGAAAGAUGCUAUUGCAUCACUACCAGAUGGACCUACGUUGUAUUAGCUAGUAGGUGAGGUAACGGCUCACCUCGGCGAGGAUACAUAGCCGACCUGCGAGGGUGAGAGGCAAAACUGGGAUUGGAACAUGGCCCAGCCCACUACGGGAGGGAGACGUCGGGAACUCCUGGGAAUGGAAGCAAGGCUGAACGAGCAACGACGGGCGAGUGAAGAAGGCUGUCGGAUCGUAAAGGUCAGUUGUACGAGAAGAAUGGGAGUGAGAGUGGAACGUUCACACUGUGACGGUACCUGAACAGAAAGCGACGGCUAACUCCGUG